UACGAAGGGGGCUAGCGUUGUUCGGAAUGACUGGGCGUAAAGCGCACGUAGGCGGAUUGGUCAGUUGGGGGUGAAAUCCCGGGGCUCAACCUCGGAACUGCAUCUGAUACUGCCAAUCUUGAGUUCGGGAGAGGUGAGUGGAAUUCCUAGUGUAGAGGUGAAAUUCGUAGAUAUUAGGUGGAACACCAGUGGCGAAGGCGGCUCACUGGACCGGUACUGACGCUGAGGCACGAAAGCGUCGGGAGCAAACAGG
This 253-nucleotide ribosomal RNA is filed under the name uncultured bacterium. RNAcentral describes it as "partial 16S ribosomal RNA". It matches the Rfam family "Bacterial small subunit ribosomal RNA", at positions 524 to 776 of the family's 1533-position model. The record is from RNAcentral.